Molecule: transfer RNA, 62 nt
Filed under: Bacillus cereus group sp. N17
Lineage: Bacteria; Bacillati; Bacillota; Bacilli; Caryophanales; Bacillaceae
Also listed under: 1 other name
Description: tRNA-Val
Source: RNAcentral
AACUUAGUUAGAAGAGCGCCACCUUGACAGGGUGGCGGUCGUGAGUUCGAGCCUCUCCGGGG